UCAGGAUGAACGCUAGCGACAGGCCUAACACAUGCAAGUCGAGGGGCAGCACGGUGUAGCAAUACACGGGUGGCGACCGGCGCACGGGUGAGUAACGCGUAUGCAACCUGCCUACUACAAGGGGAUAACCCGUUGAAAGACGGACUAAUACCCUAUAACACAGGGUAUCCGCAUGGAUAUAUUUGUUAAAGAUUUAUCGGUAGUAGAUGGGCAUGCGUUCCAUUAGCUUGUUGGUGAGGUAACGGCUCACCAAGGCAACGAUGGAUAGGGGAACUGAGAGGUUGAUCCCCCACACUGGAACUGAGACACGGUCCAGACUCCUACGGGAGGCAGCAGUGAGGAAUAUUGGUCAAUGGACGAGAGUCUGAACCAGCCAAGUCGCGUGAAGGAAGACGGCCCUACGGGUUGUAAACUUCUUUUGUAAGGGAAUAAAUAGUCUUACGCGCUAAGACGUUGCAGGUACCUUACGAAUAAGGAUCGGCUAACUCCGUGCCAGCAGCCGCGGUAAUACGGAGGAUCCGAGCGUUAUCCGGAUUUAUUGGGUUUAAAGGGUGCGCAGGCGGCAUGUUAAGUCGGCGGUGAAAUUUUGCAGCUCAACUGUAAAAGAGCCUUCGAAACUGGCAAGCUUGAGUGUGGAUGAAGUAGGCGGAAUUUGUGGUGUAGCGGUGAAAUGCAUAGAUAUCACAAAGAACACCGAUUGCGCAGGCAGCUUACUAAACCAUAACUGACGCUCAUGCACGAAGGCGUGGGGAUCAAACAGGAUUAGAUACCCUGGUAGUCCACGCAGUAAACGAUGAUUACUGGCUGUUUGCGAUACAAUGUAAGCGGCUGAGCGAAAGCGUUAAGUAAUCCACCUGGGGAGUACGUUCGCAAGAAUGA
This 879-nucleotide ribosomal RNA is filed under the name uncultured Bacteroidota bacterium. RNAcentral's name for it is "bacterial SSU rRNA". It matches the Rfam family "Bacterial small subunit ribosomal RNA", at positions 24 to 897 of the family's 1533-position model. Lineage: Bacteria; Pseudomonadati; Bacteroidota. The record is from RNAcentral.